Molecule: ribosomal RNA, 495 nt
Filed under: uncultured bacterium
Lineage: Bacteria
Description: partial 16S ribosomal RNA
Rfam family: Bacterial small subunit ribosomal RNA
Source: RNAcentral
GAUGAACGCUGGCGGCGUGCCUAAUACAUGCAAGUAGAACGCUGAAGGAGGAGCUUGCUCUUCUGGAUGAGUUGCGAACGGGUGAGUAACGCGUAGGUAACCUGCCUGGUAGCGGGGGAUAACUAUUGGAAACGAUAGCUAAUACCGCAUGACAACAGUUAUUGCAUGAUAACUGUUUAAAAGGGGCAACUGCUCCACUACCAGAUGGACCUGCGUUGUAUUAGCUAGUUGGUGAGGUAACGGCUCACCAAGGCGACGAUACAUAGCCGACCUGAGAGGGUGAUCGGCCCCACUGGGACUGAGACACGGCCCAGACUUCUACGGGAGGCAGCAGGAGGGGAUCUUCGGCAAUGGACGGAAGUCUGACCGAGCAACGCCGGGUGAGGGAAGAAGGGUUUCGGAGCGUAAAGCUCUGUUGUAAGAGAAGAACGAGUGGGAGAGUGGAAAGUUCAUACUGUGACGGUAUCUUACCAGAAAGGGACGGCUAACUACGUG